RNAcentral lists this ribosomal RNA (253 nucleotides) under uncultured bacterium. RNAcentral describes it as "partial 16S ribosomal RNA". It matches the Rfam family "Bacterial small subunit ribosomal RNA", at positions 524 to 776 of the family's 1533-position model. The record is from RNAcentral.
UACGAAGGGGGCUAGCGUUGUUCGGAAUAACUGGGCGUAAAGAGGUCGUAGGCUGCACAGCAAGUCAGUGGUGAAAUCCCGGAGCUUAACUUCGGAACUGCCAUUGAAACUGUUGUGCUGGAAUCUCAGAGGGGAUAGCGGAAUUCCAAAUGUAGGGGUGAAAUCCGUAGAUAUUUGGAGGAACACCGGUGGCGAAGGCGGCUAUCUGGAUGAGUAUUGACGCUGAGGAACGAAAGCGUGGGGAUCAAACAGG